GGGCGGUUUUUCGGGCGCAGCAGUUUCAUUCUCAACACGCCGGAUGCGAUCCGGCAUGUGCUCGUUGAGAAUUACGAGAACUACACCCGCACUCCGGCCGGCAUCCGGGUGCUACGGCCGAUCCUCGGCGAGGGCCUUUUGCUGGCCGAGGGCAAGGCCUGGAAAAACCAGCGCCGCACGCUGGCGCCGGCCUUCGCACCGCGGGCCAUUCCGCUGCUCAUUCCGCACAUGCUGGCGGCGACCGACGAUGCCAUCGACGUGUUACGGACGCAGACCGGNCGAGGCCAUGCAGCGGCUGGCGCUCGAUAUUGCCGGGCGCACAAUGUUCUCGUUUGAGAUCGACAGGCACGGCCCGGCGCUGCGGGGCUUCGUGAACGACUACGGUGAGCGCCUCGCGCAGCCGCGCUUCUUCGAUCUGCUGCUGCCGCUGGGCUGG
RNAcentral lists this unclassified non-coding RNA (436 nucleotides) under Hevea brasiliensis (rubber tree). The record is from RNAcentral. Lineage: Eukaryota; Viridiplantae; Streptophyta; Magnoliopsida; Malpighiales; Euphorbiaceae.